UAACCUGCCCCCUGCUGGGGAACAACUCCGCGAAAGCGGGGCUAAUACCGCAUAGUUUCGCUUAUCAUAAGAUGAGUGAAUAAAGCUAUGGACAUUGCAGUGUGCAAGAGUGCUUAGAAGCAAUGAAAAUAAACAAGUAGAUGAUAAUUUUCAUUGUCUUAUAGAGCAUUCUUGUAUAGUGUAAUGUCCAUGGCGGAAGGGGAGGGGCCUAUGGCCUAUCAGCUUGUUGGUGAGGUAAAAGCUUACCAAGGCAAUGACGGGUAGCGGGUGUGAGAGCACGACCCGCCUCACUGGGACUGAGACACUGCCCAGACUCCUACGGGAGGCUGCAGUCAUGAAUAUUCCACAAUGGCCGAAAGGCUGAUGGAGCAAUGCCGCGUGAUCGAAGAAGCUUUUCGGAGUGUAAAGAUCUUUUCUGUGGGAAGAAUGCGUGACGGUACCACAGGAAUAAGAGGUUGCUAACUCUGUGCCAGCAGCAGCGGUAAUACAGAGACCUCAAGCGUUAUCCGGAUUUAUUGGGCGUAAAGCGUCCGUAGGCGGUUUGAUACGUUACUGGUUAAAUCUUUGGGCUCAACCCAAAGACCGCCGGUAAUACGGUCAAACUUGAGGCCGGGAGAGGUAAGCGGAAUUGCCGGUGUAGUAGUAAAAUGCGUUGAUAUCGGCAGGAACACCAAAUGCGAAAGCAGCUUACUGGAACGGUUCUGACGCUCAGGGACGAAAGCGUGGGUAGCGAAUGGGAUUAGAUACCCCAGUAGUCCACGCCGUAAACGAUGGAUACUAGGCAUUGGAAGUAUCGACCCUUUCAGUGUCGUUUACUCAAGGUAACCCCUUAAGUAUCCCGCCUGGGGAGUACGAGCGCAAGCUUAAAACUCAAAGGAAUUGACG
This 885-nucleotide ribosomal RNA is filed under the name Patescibacteria group bacterium UBA1544. Its description in RNAcentral is "bacterial SSU rRNA". It matches the Rfam family "Bacterial small subunit ribosomal RNA", at positions 122 to 915 of the family's 1533-position model. The record is from RNAcentral.